CAAUAAGGCAUCUUUCACAAAGUUCAGCUUCAGAACAAGUUUCAUAAAUCUCUGAUAGUGACUUUGUCUUCAAUAUUGGAGAUUCUGAUGAUGAUGAUUCACCACUCCUUGGUGAGUUUGUUGGUGAUGACUCGGUUGAACUCUGUUGGAAAGUUGGUUCACGAACUAGUGAAUCAUCCCGUUGAGUUUCUCGAGCUGGAGAAUUUUCACUGGAUGGUUGACCUU
Molecule: long non-coding RNA, 225 nt
Filed under: Nicotiana benthamiana
Lineage: Eukaryota; Viridiplantae; Streptophyta; Magnoliopsida; Solanales; Solanaceae
Description: long non-coding RNA (NBEN_LNC023209)
Source: RNAcentral